RNAcentral lists this ribosomal RNA (473 nucleotides) under uncultured bacterium. RNAcentral's name for it is "bacterial SSU rRNA". It matches the Rfam family "Bacterial small subunit ribosomal RNA", at positions 355 to 825 of the family's 1533-position model. The record is from RNAcentral.
UGGGGAAUAUUGGACAAUGGGGGCAACCCUGAUCCAGCGAUGCCGCGUGUGUGAAGAAGGCCUGCGGGUUGUAAAGCACUUUAGUUGGGGAGGAGAAGGUGCGUAUGAAUAGUGCGCGCUGGAGACGUUACCCAAAGAAUAAGCACCGGCAAACUCUGUGCCGGCAGCCGCGGUAAUACAGAGGGUGCAAGCGUUAAUCGGAGUUACUGGGCGUAAAGGGCACGUAGGUGGUUAUGUAAGUCAGUUGUGAAAUCCCCGGGCUUAACCUGGGAACUGCAGCUGAUACUGUAUGACUAGAGUCGAAGAGAGGGAAGCGGAAUUCCAGGUGUAGCGGUGAAAUGCGUAGAUAUCUGGAGGAACACCGGUGGCGAAGGCGGCAUCCUGGACCGGUAUUGACGCUGAGUGAGCGAAAGCCAGGGGAGCAAACGGGAUUAGAUACCCAGGUAGUCCCUGAGCGGGCUGGCAAGGCGCAU